AUGAACGCUAGCGACAGGCCUAACACAUGCAAGUCAGGGGCAGCACAAGGAGCAAUCUGAGGUGGCGACCGGCGCACGGGUGAGUAACACGUAUGCAACCUGCCUGUAAGCGGGGAAUAACCCGUUGAAAGACGGACUAAUACCGCAUAAUACUAAAUUACUGCAUGGUAAUUUAUUUAAACAUUUAUGGCUUACAGAUGGGCAUGCGCAUGAUUAGCUAGUUGGAGAGGUAACGGCUCCCCAAGGCAACGAUCAUUAGGGGUUCUGAGAGGAAGGUCCCCCGCACUGGUACUGAGACACGGACCAGACUCCUACGGGAGGCAGCAGUGAGGAAUAUUGGUCAAUGGACGAGAGUCUGAACCAGCCAAGUCGCGUGCAGGAAGAAUGUCCUAUGGAUUGUAAACUGCUUUUGCAGGGGAAUAAAGUGCAUCACGUGUGAUGUUUUGUAUGUACUCUGCGAAUAAGGAUCGGCUAACUCCGUGCCAGCAGCUGC
Molecule: ribosomal RNA, 493 nt
Filed under: uncultured bacterium
Lineage: Bacteria
Description: bacterial SSU rRNA
Rfam family: Bacterial small subunit ribosomal RNA
Source: RNAcentral